CUACGGGAGGCAGCAGUGAGGAAUAUUGCACAAUGGGGGGAACCCUGAUGCAGCAACGCCGCGUGGAGGAUGACGCAUUUCGGUGUGUAAACUCCUUUUAUAUGUCAAGAGAAUGACGGUAGCAUAUGAAUAAGCACCGGCUAACUCCGUGCCAGCAGCCGCGGUAAUACGGAGGGUGCAAGCGUUACUCGGAAUCACUGGGCGUAAAGGACGCGUAGGCGAGUUGGAAAGUCAGGUGUGAAAUCCUACAGCUUAACUGUAGAACUGCACUUGAAACUUCUAAUCUAGAGUAUGGGAGGGGGGGAUGGAAUUAGUGGUGUAGGGGUAAAAUCCGUAGAUAUCACUAGGAAUACCUAAAGCGAAGGCGAUCUCCUGGAACAUUACUGACGCUAAGGCGUGAAAGCGUGGGGAGCAAACAGGAUUAGAUACCCUAGUAGUC
This 439-nucleotide ribosomal RNA is filed under the name uncultured bacterium. RNAcentral describes it as "partial 16S ribosomal RNA". It matches the Rfam family "Bacterial small subunit ribosomal RNA", at positions 339 to 795 of the family's 1533-position model. The record is from RNAcentral.